GCCUGGGUGGCUCAGUCGGUUAAACAUCUGACUUCAGCUCAGGUCAUGGUCUUGCAGUUCGUGGGUUCGAACCCCACAUCUGGCU
This is a non-coding RNA of Felis catus (domestic cat), 85 nucleotides long. The record is from Rfam. Lineage: Eukaryota; Metazoa; Chordata; Mammalia; Carnivora; Felidae.